GGGGCCUACGGGACGCAGCAGUGAGGAAUAUUGGUCAAUGGGCGGAAGCCUGAACCAGCCAAGUCGCGUAAGGGAAUAAGGCCCUACGGGUCGUAAACCUCUUUUGCCGGGGAGCAAGGGCCGGGACGCGUCCCGGCCCGGAGAGUAGCCGGAGAAAAAGCAUCGGCUAACUCCGUGCCAGCAGCCGCGGUAAUACGGAGGAUGCGAGCGUUAUCCGGAUUUAUUGGGUUUAAAGGGAGCGUAGAUGGGUUGUUAAGUCAGGUGUGAAAGUUUGCGGCUCAACCGUAA
Molecule: ribosomal RNA, 288 nt
Filed under: uncultured bacterium
Lineage: Bacteria
Description: partial 16S ribosomal RNA
Rfam family: Bacterial small subunit ribosomal RNA
Source: RNAcentral